Molecule: ribosomal RNA, 252 nt
Filed under: uncultured bacterium
Lineage: Bacteria
Description: partial 16S ribosomal RNA
Rfam family: Bacterial small subunit ribosomal RNA
Source: RNAcentral
UACGAAGGGGGCUAGCGUUGCUCGGAAUCACUGGGCGUAAGGGUGCGUAGGCGGGUUUUUAAGUCAGGGGUGAAAUCCUGGAGCUCAACUCCAGAACUGCCUUUGAUACUGAAGAUCUUGAGUCCGGGAGAGGUGAGUGGAACUGCGAGUGUAGAGGUGAAAUUCGUAGAUAUUCGCAAGAACACCAGUGGCGAAGGCGGCUCACUGGCCCGGUACUGACGCUGAGGCACGAAAGCGUGGGGAGCAAACAGG